UACGUAGGGUGCUAGCGUUGUUCGGAAUCAUUGGGCGUAAAGCGCGUGUAGGCGGUUAGUUAAGUCGGGUGUGAAAUCCCUGGGCUCAACCGAGGAAGUGCAUCCGAAACUAACUAGCUAGAGAAUGGUAGAGGAAGGUGGAAUUCCGUGUGUAGAGGUGAAAUUCGUAGAUAUACGGAGGAAUACCGGUGGCGAAGGCGGCCUUCUGGACCAUUUCUGACGCUGAGACGCGAAAGCGUGGGGAGCAAACAGG
Molecule: ribosomal RNA, 253 nt
Filed under: uncultured bacterium
Lineage: Bacteria
Description: partial 16S ribosomal RNA
Rfam family: Bacterial small subunit ribosomal RNA
Source: RNAcentral